RNAcentral lists this ribosomal RNA (450 nucleotides) under Triticum aestivum (bread wheat). Its description in RNAcentral is "partial small subunit ribosomal RNA". Lineage: Eukaryota; Viridiplantae; Streptophyta; Magnoliopsida; Poales; Poaceae. The record is from RNAcentral.
AUGCUUUGGAAGAAGCUUGUACAGUUUGGGAAGGGGUUUUUUGAGAGAAAAGAAGAAUCUACUUCAACCGAUAUGCCCUUAGGCACGGCCAUGCAUAACAUAGAAAUCACACGUGGAAGGGGUGGGAAAUUAGCUAGAGCAGCAGGUGCUGUAGCGAAACUCAUUGCAAAAGAGGGUAAAUCGGCCACUUUAAGAUUACCAUUUGGGGAGGUCCGUUUAGUAUCCCAAAACUGCUUAGCAACAGUCGGACAAGUGGGUAAUGUUGGGGUGAACCAAAAAAGUUUGGGUAGAGCCGGAUCUAAGUAUUGGCUAGGUAAACGCCCCGUAGUAAGAGGGGUAGUUAUGAACCCUGUGGACCACCCCCAUGGGGGCGGUGAAGGGAAAGCUCUCAUUGGUAGAAAAAAAACCCACAACCCCUUGGGGUUAUCCUGCGCUUGGAAGAAGAACUAG